Molecule: long non-coding RNA, 3480 nt
Filed under: Triticum aestivum (bread wheat)
Lineage: Eukaryota; Viridiplantae; Streptophyta; Magnoliopsida; Poales; Poaceae
Description: long non-coding RNA (TAES_LNC023270)
Rfam family: Small nucleolar RNA Z221/R21b (bases 2480-2571)
Source: RNAcentral
CGCAAGAUGCUGCGCCAGCCCGUGCCCAAGAAGCACCACCACCACCACCACGCCGGCGGCGGCUGCUGCUCCCACGACGCUCCUGCUGCCGCGGCGGCCGGCUCGUCCCCAGCGUCCGCUUCGCCGGAGAAGUAGGCCGACUCAUUAGAUGGUAAGCUGCUGCCUCAUCUCGAUCUGUUAAUUUUUGCAGAAUUAGCUCCAGAAAAUUAAAUUGAUGCUUGUUGUAACCCUGUUAUUUAGUCUCGAUUAUUCAAAUCUUGCUGUUGGAUCUUGGAUUUUGCUAGGAAAAUUAAGUUGAUGUCUGUGUCAAGUUUGCUUUCCUACUGAAUUGAAUACUGCUGUGCGAUGAACAUCAUAGCCAAAUCUUGCUGUUGGAACUUGUGUGUGCGGCGCCUCUCUCACCUUUGGCUUCUUGAGAUUGACCUUUCUCAAAGUUGCCCAGUCAUGGUGGCGCAUAGUGAUCACUGGCCGGUUUAACGUGGGAGCUAGCAGUUUGUUGCCAUGCUUCCAAAAUCUCUCGCCACAUCUCCUGUUAUCAUAACAACAAUACUUUUUUGAUCUCAUGUGGUUUGAUGGGCAUUCAUCAGUUCUGACCUUAUGCUUACCGUGCUCCGGUGCCUCUCUCACCUUUGGCAUCUUGAGAUUGUUCUUUCUCAAAGUUGCCCAGUCAUAGUGGCACAUAGUGAUUCCUGGUGAGUUUAACGUGGGAGGUCACUCUUUAUGGUUAUGCUUCCAAAAUCUCUCGCUACAACUGUUUGAUUAAAACACUUCUCUUUACAUUGCUUGUGAUUAUAGUGGUUAUGAAAAUCUAAAUUGAGACCUGAAUUUGUUGCUUGCUGCAUGCUAAUCUAAGUUUUGUCAAUGAUGAUUAUGUCUGCAAAAUGUAUGCUCUGUGGAUUCGAGCCCCUGUUUCAGGGAGAACCUCUUGAUGAAGCAGAUAUAAUAUGGCAUCAAUUGACAAAUCUGAGACAUAUUGUAGCAUUGUUCUGCUUAUUGCCUUGUUAUUUUAGUUGUUAAAUGUACUGAGUUGUGACUUCUGAUUUUGCAACUAUCUUUGUUGCCUUCACCUUAAUCAGCAUUUGCUAAAGUUUUGCCAAUGAUGAUUCUGUCUGCAAAAUGGAUGCUCUGUGGAUUCAAGCCCCUGUUUCAGGGAGAACCUCUUGAUGAAGCAGAUAUAAUAUGACAUCAAUUGACAAAUCUGAGACAUCUUGUAGCAUUGUUCUGCUUAUUGCCUGGUUAUUUUAGUAGUUAGAAUGUAUUGAGGUGUUUACAUCUGAUUUUGCAACUAUCUCUGUUGCCUGAUACCUUACCCAUCAUUUGCUUAAGUUUUGCCAAUGAUGAUUCUGUCUGCAAAAUGGAUGCUCUGUGGAUUCAAGCCCCUGUUUCAGGGAGAACCUCUUGAUGAAGCAGAUAUAAUGUGACAUCAAUUGACAAAUCUGAGACAAUAGUAUAAUACUGUGCUAGUAGAUUGAAUUGAGUAUUGAGUUUUUAUUUAGCUCGUUUGUUGCAUGAUAUGUAUAAAUUAUUUGUGGUUUUCCUAUGAUGAUUCUGUCUGCAAAAUGGAUGCCCUGUGGACUCAAGCCCCUGUAUCAGGGAGAACCUCUUGAGAAAGCAGAUGUAAAAUGACAUCAAAUGACAAAUCUGAGGUGUUCCAUUUUGUGCUUCCUAGUAUCAUGUCAUCAAUUGAUAAAUUUGAGGUAUUCCAUGACGUUGUGCUUCCUGCUGAAGCAAAAGGCUAUGAUGAGAAAAGUCAUGCACCACUCUGAAGAGAUUCAUCUCUUUGUGCUGAUAAACAAACUUACAACCCAUUUUACAUCUGAGCCACCUCUUGGUACCUACUUUUGUAUGUCUUCUUUAUUUGCUUUUCAUGUCAUAGAUGGUAGUUACCAGUUUGGGGAAAUAAUGUACAGAACCAGAUGAUGAGGGUUGCCCAAGUGCAAUCCUACCAUGAUGCGGACUGAAAUUUCAUUGAGGUCAAAUACAUUUGCCGCUGAUGGUUCUUCUUUACAAUUCUGCACAUUUUGAAUGCCAGUGCAGUUCUUGGUAACUUCUUUUGUGAACCUUGUUGCAUUUCUUAUGAAUUAUUUUGUGUUCUGUUGAUAUUUAUGUUUGCGAAAUAGGUGCUUUGUAGAAUCCAAGGCUAUGAUGAGAAAAGUCAUGCACCACUCUGAAGAGAUUUAUCUCCUUGUGCUGAUAAACAAACUUACAACCCAUUUUAUAUCUGAGCCGCCUCAUGGUUUUGUAUUUUCUGAUCUGGUUAGACAUAUGUCCUAUUGGUUUUUAAGAAACCAAUUAUUUUAAGGUAAUAACUGGAUUGGAGGGAUAUAAUAACAGAACCAGAUGAUGAGGGUUGCCUAUGAGUGAUCCUACCAUGAUGCGGACUGAAUUUACAUUGAGGUCAAUACAUUUGCCGCUGAUGGUUCUUUCCAAUCCCCCCAAUCUUGAAUGGAUUUUCCCCUUGGUUUUCCAGUGAUGAUAAUGGCUAUGAUGAGAAAAGUCAUGCACCACUCUGAAGAGAUUUGUCUCUUUGUGCUGAUAAAUAAACUUACAACCCAUUUUACUUCUGAGCCAUCUCAGGACUUCGAUUUUCUGAUUUGUUUAUUUGUUUUGAGAAACUGUUUCCAGCUUUGCAUUUGUGAGAAUACUGUAGUUUUGAAAAUAAAAGUCUUGCUGUUAACUGGAUUGGAGGAAUAAUGUAGAGAACCAGAUGACGAGGGUUGCCUAUGGGCGGUCCUACCAUGAUGCGGACUGAAUUACAUUGAGGUCAAAACAUUUGCCGCUGAUGGUUCUUUUUAAUUGAUUUUCCUCCCUAUUUUGAAUGUUCUAUUCGAUGGAACUUGUAUCUGAAUUACUUGGUUUUGCCAAUGAUGUUUCUGUCUGCAAAAUGGAUGCUUGAGCCCCUGUUUCAGGGAGAACCUCUCGAGACAAUGACAACAAUCGACAAGCCUGAGGCAUUGUAAAACAAAAAAAAACAUUUACUGGAGCUUGUAUUUUUGGUUGCCUAAUUAAGUGUUUCAUCUCUUUUUUCUGAAAUUGUAGACGCCAAUCAUGUAGUAUCAGCUUUGCUUAGAUGUGAUUUCUCAAAGUAUUUUGUUUUUCCUGAUUGCAGAAAGCCAUUUCAAAAACAAGGAGCUGCUGAACCUCCUGGAUAAUAUGAAUCAUAUGGUGCUCUCCUCUUGGAUCUUGAUUGUAGCCCCUGCUGUACCAUUGAUACAGAGAGAACAUUGUACUGUGAUUACUUUGGUCAGAUCGCACACCUUUGGCCAGAAUCCUUGUACUUCUUGUGAGACUUAAUGACAUGCACAUAUUUUAACUACCUCCCAAUUGUUGCCUGAAAUUUUGUGGGCAAAUCGUGGCUGAAAUGUGGACGGUUAGACUUGCAGAGGAGCACUCAAUAAAAUUUGUUUGGGGAUGUCUUUUUGGCAAGAUUUGAUUUCAUGUUGAACGGGAUCAGUAUGAUAAGGUUAAGUUCAUAUUAUG